CCUAACACAUGCAAGUCGAACGGUAACAGGAAGAAGCUUGCUUCUUUGCUGACGAGUGGCGGACGGGUGAGUAAUGUCUGGGAAGCUGCCUGAUGGAGGGGGAUAACUACUGGAAACGGUAGCUAAUACCGCAUAACGUCGCAAGACCAAAGAGGGGGACCUUCGGGCCUCUUGCCAUCGGAUGUGCCCAGAUGGGAUUAGCUAGUAGGUGGGGUAACGGCUCACCUAGGCGACGAUCCCUAGCUGGUCUGAGAGGAUGACCAGCCACACUGGAACUGAGACACGGUCCAGACUCCUACGGGAGGCAGCAGUGGGGAAUAUUGCACAAUGGGCGCAAGCCUGAUGCAGCCAUGCCGCGUGUAUGAAGAAGGCCUUCGGGUUGUAAAGUACUUUCAGCGGGGAGGAAGGGAGUAAAGUUAAUACCUUUGCUCAUUGACGUUACCCGCAGAAGAAGCACCGGCUAACUCCGUGCCAGCAGCCGCGGUAAUACGGAGGGUGCAAGCGUUAAUCGGAAUUACUGGGCGUAAAGCGCACGCAGGCGGUUUGUUAAGUCAGAUGUGAAAUCCCCGGGCUCAACCUGGGAACUGCAUCUGAUACUGGCAAGC
Molecule: ribosomal RNA, 605 nt
Filed under: Escherichia coli
Lineage: Bacteria; Pseudomonadati; Pseudomonadota; Gammaproteobacteria; Enterobacterales; Enterobacteriaceae
Description: bacterial SSU rRNA
Rfam family: Bacterial small subunit ribosomal RNA
Source: RNAcentral